CAAUUAUUGGAAACUGCUUUCCGAGCAUCUCCUAUUGACUUAGUAUCCAUGGAAUACCCAAUCUGUAAGGUUUUGCAGUUCGUUAGCGCGCGCUUCUGAGACCAUGUCGUAUGGCUGUGUGAGGUUAUGGCGCGCUAAUAUGACUAUUUAAGCGGACCAUUUCAUGAACAUUGUAAGUCUAAGUUGAAAUUGAAAGCCCGAUCUUCUGUGCUUACGCAAGUAUAUCGGCCAGUAAAGUCAGCUUGCACUUCCCAGUUGUUAGGAGCGGCCUGGUUCCCUUUCAAUUGGUAUCAGAGCCUAGGUGAUCCUCCUGGGUGGUGGAGCGAAUGUGACGCGACUGGGUGAGGGGGGAUGUUUCGCUGGGUUAGGCAUGGGGCCAAAGUAACCUACUGUAACGAACGCGUUUUGGGUUUCUCGUCCCGGUUCUUGGUCUGGCUAGCUGCUCAGCCCGGAUUCAAAAUCUUAUUUUAGGCGUAGCCGAAAAUUUGGUUUAAAGAGGGGCGUCAGAGCGGCGUCGUACGGUGCAGUUAGUUGGUUGUUAUUUUGAACUGCUAUUUGAUCGGUGGGGUUUAGUCUUGUCGAAUUAUCUUCCGGGCGAUCUCGGACUCAGCUGCUGGUUGAUACGAGCUCUCUUUACCAGAACAGCUGCUAGCUGCCGCUGUUAUUGUCCGUUGGUCAGCGGUGUGAAUUUGACGACCUUUCUUAUCGCCAAAUCGUUAUUUUCGUUAUUUUCUCGCGCAUCUUGGAGGGCGGUGGAUUAGGAGGCCCUUGGUUACCUCCUGACGACUCAUUGUCUGCCAUCGCUGGAUGUUACAGACCAGAAGCUAUAAAAGUAUUAUGAAAAGUGUCCCCCCUGGAUCUCACUGCAACCCCCUGCACAGCCCCAUGGAACCCUCUUAACGACGCUGCCACCAGCGCUUCACUGUGCCCAACGCCUGGAACGUGGGCAGGGGUACGGACUUCUUCGCCCUGAUAGCGACCGAGUGAUCGACCCAUGGGUCAGGUGGAACUGACUGCAUUAACCCCAGCCUCUCUAAGCGAGCCGUUACCAUGUUGUUGUGCUCCGUAAGCAUUUCCUGGAAAUAAAACUCCGCCCUCCCGGUCUCCAUAGUGCGCAUCAUGUUGCCAAACAUCUCAAUCAUUGCGAACGUCUGCUCGCAAACCUUGGUGUUGAACAGGUCUGUGAGCUUGUACAACCACAGCUGCCCAUCCGCACCCUGCACGCCCUCAUACUUGAAAAGCAUCCGGCCCUUCACUUCCUUCCCUUGGAACUGCGCAGGGGACAACCAAGGGACAACCGCCUUGCUGCCCAGCCGUGCGUUAGCUUGCUCUGGACGGCUAACCCGCCCUUCCUUGUCCCCCCCACCCCCUCCUCCUACUCCCACACGCCCCACCCAUCACUGGNNNNNNNNNNNNNNNNNNNNNNNNNNNNNNNNNNNNNNNNNNNNNNNNNNUGACACGUCCGUGCCGUACACUCCUGAGCAAAAUGGCCGCGCUGAGAGGCUGAACCGCACACUCCUGGAGAAGACCCGCGCGAUGUUGCAAGACUCAGGAUUGCCGCAUGAAUUAUGGGCCGAAGCUAUCACCACUGCAUGUGCCCUGCAUAAUUGUUCGCCUGUGUCGGGCAAGCAGAUAACGCCCUUUGAAGUCUUUCCACCGUGUGAAGCCAGAUGUCUCUGAUUUGCGCGUGUUUGGGUGUACUGCGUGGGUGCAUGUCGAGAGGAGGCACCGCAAUAAGCUCGAUGCCACGAGCCAGAAGGGUGUGUUGGUGGGCUACGAACGCAACUGCAAAGGAUACCGGAUUUUAUUGGACGGGUCUAAGCGUAUCGUAGUGAGCAGGAGCGUGCUUUUUGAGGAGACGCCAACGUCCCGCACGCUGCCUGCAAAUGAUAGCGAAAGCAGCGGCAGCGGAAGCGAUAGUGAUGAUGAGGACGAUGUGGCUAGCAGUAGUUGCAAGACUGCAGCCCCUCCCCGGCAAGGGGAGCAGUUUAGUCCGAGCGAGGCCGUAGAGGAUAGUCAAGGGAACGCGACGAUUGGAGAUUCAGCUGAGUUGAAUGAGGGGGAGCCUAUGGUAGUUGGCGCAGCACCUGAGGCACCUGAGGAGGAACCCACGGCUACUGGCGGUGCAGCCGAUUCCGCCAAAGGGAAGCCUAAGACUACCAGCGGGACCACUAAGGGGAAACCUAAAGCUGUCGGUAAGGCAGCUGAGGGGGAGGAUAAGGCUGGUGCAGCUGCCUCUACACAACAUCGUUACCCCCAACGUGACCGUCAUCCGCCCCAGCGACUCAACCUUGCUGUUAACGUAUCGGACGUCAAAAUCCCGAGCACCUACGAGGAAGCGAUGGCCUCUCCGGAACGGGACAAGUGGCAGGAGGCGAUGGUUGAAGAAAUCGGAUCUAUCCACGCAUUAGAUACGUGGGAGCUGAAGGUACCGCCGCCUGGGGUGAAACCGAUUCCGGUGAAGUGGGUGUACGACGUGAAGCGGGGUGUAGACGGACAAGUGGAACGAUACAAAGCCCGGUUGGUAGCAAAGGGCUAUAAACAGAAGGAAGGAGUUGACUUCAAUGAGGUAUUCGCGCCUGGUAGCAAUCAGGUGACGUUGCGUACAUUCCUGGCGAAGGCUGCGGCUGAAGGAUUUGAGGUACACCACCUAGACGUGCGCACUGCGUUCCUCAACGGGACGCUGGAGGAGGUGAUUUAUUGUGACCAACCGCCUGGUUUUGAAACGGGUGGCGCAGGUAUGAAGUGUCUGUUGAGAAAAGCGUUGUACGGUUUACGUCAGGCAGCCAGAGCUUGGCACCAGAAGUUGCGGGANACGCUGGAGGCUAUUGGUUUCAAGGUUUCUGAUGCGGAUCCCAGCUUCUUUACGCUGGAAGAGCAGUCAUUUGUGGUGUGGCUAUACGCUCACGUAGACGACUUGCUAGUCGCGAGCAACAAAAGCGAGGAAAUAGCCCGUAUAAAGCAAGAGUUGAAGGCUGAGUUUGACCUCCGUGAUUUGGGGGAGGUGUCGUUCUUUUUGGGUAUGGAGAUCAGUCGGAGCAAGGAGCUAGGCGAGGUCAAAAUCUCGCAGCAGCGGUAUACGGCCGAAUUGUUGGCCAAGUUCGGGAUGGAGGAUGCAGUUCCUAAGUCGGUUCCUAUGACGCCAAGUCUAGUUUUGAACCGUACUAGUGAUAUCGAUCAGGUAUUGUUGGAUGCAACGCGCUACCGAGAGUUAAUUGGUGGCUUGAUGUAUCUGGCAGUGUGCACGCGUCCUGAUAUCGCGCAUGCUGUGUUUAAGUUGGCGCGGUAUAUGUCUGAGCCGGCGAAGGCUCACUGGGAGGCUGCUAAGGAUAUCCUGAGAUAUCUGAAGGGGACUGCGAGUUUCGGUUUAUGUUUUGCCAGGGACAGCAAGGCAAUUGAGGGUUAUGCCGAUGCGGACUGGGCAGUGGACCGAGACAACCGCCGUUCGACAACUGGAUAUGCCUUUAUCCUUGGCGGUGGAGCCGUCAGCUGGAAGAGUCGGUUGCAACCGACUGUAGCAGCAUCGACUGUGGAGGCCGAGUAUAUGGCGGCGUCCCUAGCUACUCGCGAAGCGCUCUGGCUGAGGAAACUUCUGCCCGAGUUUGGGUGUGAGAUCGACGUGAUGCGUAUCUGGGGUGACAACCAGGGAGCAUUAAGUUUGAUAAAGAAUCCGAUUGUUUCGGAACGUGUGAAGCACAUCGAUGUGAUUCAUCAUUUUGUGCGUGAGAGGGUAUCUAUGGGGCAGGUGAAGUUUGAGUACUGUCCCACUACCAGUAUGGUAGCAGAUAUUCUCACGAAGCCGUUGCCGGAGGGGAAGUUCGUGCAGUUCCGAGAAGGGCUGGUUGUUCGUUGAGUUGGAUUCGCCCGAGUGUUCCGUCCGAGGGGGAGUGUUGACUUCCGGCCAGAACACUAACGGCUGUACGACAGAUAAGAUGGAAUGUUUGGUAUAAAGGAGAUGAUGUUCUGACUGAAAGCUUGUUCUGUGAUACCUGUAACGGUUGAGGUUGGCUUUACCUACACAGUUCCACUCGCCUAUAUCUUAACACUGUCACUGUUCUCUGGUAUAUGAGUGUCGGUCACUUUCCAACACGUUGGAAUGUUUGGUGGUGGGGGACGGGACUUCUUCCUUCGAACUCAUGGUGCGUUCUAUCAUUGCUGAAAUGUCAGCGCGUGAUCCGUACUCCCUACUAAUUUUCUGUGGGGAAGGCCAUUGCGUCUGCAACCAUACUCCCGCGGUACCCAAACCCUUCAAGGACAACUCCGACCAGCCCCAAACACACCGCGGAGCGGUCUCCCCUNNNNNNNNNNNNNNNNNNNNNNNNNNNNNNNNNNNNNNNNNNNNNNNNNNCACCCGAAUAUCCCCUAGGCGACAGAACACCUAAGGUGAACCAAAACCGAACUUACUUGGUCUUCUAGCCUGAUUUAGGCUUUACGGCUAUGGAAUGCAGGGUGGUCUAGGCGAAGUCCUGCAGGUAGCUGGAAUGCUGACUAGACGGCACACGAGCGGGCAAGUCGUAAUACGCAGCAAAUAGCAACCCGCGAAAGGGGCCAAGAUUCCCUCCAGGCAACAAAUCAACAGUGAUAAAGAUUUACCUUACCGACUGAGUAUGCCCGGCGUGAAGGAUAUGGGCGUUGAGUGGCCCACACAGGAGUUCGGCUGGUGGAAGGAAGUUACUUAUGCGGCUUAAGAAAAGGGAGGUCCGCACAGGGCUUGUUGUCUAGCUCAGAGAACUUUACAAUGUUCCAAUCAUGAGCCGUAAAGCGACUUUUCCAAGCUCGCUGCCGGCUAUAAAUACCGAAGUCUCACUGUCGAUCACAGGAGGCCCUCAAAAGAUAAGCCUCGAGUACGACCACGACGUAUAGUCCACAAAUGACACAAGUGAAACACCUUAUAACCCGUGUGACAGAACAUUCACACAAGAAAUAAACAAUUCACAAGUAAAGUACAUAAACGUACGCAAACGAGCGUACAUUCUCGUCUCGUCCAUAAGUCCAUCAGCGAAGUGUAAGAUGAUAACCAAACACCUUACGCGUUUAUACACGAUAUUCGCGUAUUCACACCGAUUAUAACCUAAGACGAUUAUAAAAGACGGUAAAAUGAACGUGACGCUAAAAUGUCGUGACAGGUCGGUCCACUCGGCGGCCUUCACGUAGCAGCAAGCAUCGAGGUAGCUGCGGAUGAGUUGUAGGCCAAGGUGGAAGCCUGUGAAGGCUUGCAGACGAUGGCCAAUCCCUUGGCGCCUUCUGCUCAUUGGCCAUGAAGUCCGCACUGAUGUCAUCAGCCUGCUCUAGAGCAGCCUGAUCGUCCCGGCGGCGCUUCUCGGAUACCUUUUCUAUGGCAUUCAUCACCACCGUUUCUAAAACCGCGGCGCCGGUUUUGGCGGUGCCGGCCGGCGGGGAGGAUCCAAUGGCGCCUAAACUCCCACCAGCCCCACCUGGAACAGUGGCGACAUUCUCGGUCGAUGGCGCAUUGUCGUUAAUAGUUGACAUUGGAAGGAAUUGAAAUCGGAAAACGUAGAAAACUUGAACAGUUGUAGGUCGGAACUUGAAAUGGUAAGGCUUCAAGUACAGCCUGUCACGCUGACUAUUUGGACAAGGCUGUAUGCUCUUCUGUGUGAAGGCAGAAUGACUUCACCAGGAGAGCAGCAAGGUUUAAGUCGCCACUGCGACCCAGUUGUACGACAGUACCACAGAACCAGCCUUAGAGGCUCCGGUCGCUUCGCUCCGUCGCAUCUAAGCCAACAAUUUGCCGGAGCUCUCAGCCCGGCACGUAGGGCAGGUACUGAUGUCCGCUGCGGCGACUGCAUUCCUGAACGUGAACCCCGCCUGAUGAAGCAGAUUCUUACGUGAUGUAACGGUUUUGUGGACGAACAGUAUACCUCUGCCACUAGCUGGCGGGAGUUCGCGUCCUCACUGAGGAUGAUGGGCCUGGCAGGCCCAUCAUCCUCAUCGGUGUCCGAACCCUCACCCGAUGGUGCAUCCUCCUCACCCACGGCAUUCACAUCAUCAUGUAUACGAUUAGUAUAGGAAUACUCUUAUACGUGACCUUCAUCUUGAUCAUGCUGCAUGUGGAGCAAGGGCACAUGUUCUUUGGUGGCGGCGUUUUCCGCAGUUUCUUUAUGUGCCUUCGCUACUAUUCGCUACUAUUUCGGAGUGCAUAGCUCGGAAACACCUAUCUGUUUCCCAGGAAACAGCGUCGUUUCCAGGGAAAUGCCCUUUCUAAGGAAAAGCCCUCGUAGUACGGAAAACUCUUUUCACAUCAAAUUUGAAGCCAACAAUUAUUGGAAACUGCUUUCCGAGCAUCUCCUAUUGACUUAGUAUCCAUGGAAUACCCAAUCUGUAAGGUUUUGCAGUUCGUUAGCGCGCGCUUCUGAGACCAUGUCGUAUGGCUGUGUGAGGUUAUGGCGCGCUAAUAUGACUAUUUAAGCGGACCAUUUCAUGAACAUUGUAAGUCUAAGUUGAAAUUGAAAGCCCGAUCUUCUGUGCUUACGCAAGUAUAUCGGCCAGUAAAGUCAGCUUGCACUUCCCAGUUGUUAGGAGCGGCCUGGUUCCCUUUCAAUUGGUAUCAGAGCCUAGGUGAUCCUCCUGGGUGGUGGAGCGAAUGUGACGCGACUGGGUGAGGGGGGAUGUUUCGCUGGGUUAGGCAUGGGGCCAAAGUAACCUACUGUAACGAACGCGUUUUGGGUUUCUCGUCCCGGUUCUUGGUCUGGCUAGCUGCUCAGCCCGGAUUCAAAAUCUUAUUUUAGGCGUAGCCGAAAAUUUGGUUUAAAGAGGGGCGUCAGAGCGGCGUCGUACGGUGCAGUUAGUUGGUUGUUAUUUUGAACUGCUAUUUGAUCGGUGGGGUUUAGUCUUGUCGAAUUAUCUUCCGGGCGAUCUCGGACUCAGCUGCUGGUUGAUACGAGCUCUCUUUACCAGAACAGCUGCUAGCUGCCGCUGUUAUUGUCCGUUGGUCAGCGGUGUGAAUUUGACGACCUUUCUUAUCGCCAAAUCGUUAUUUUCGUUAUUUUCUCGCGCAUCUUGGAGGGCGGUGGAUUAGGAGGCCCUUGGUUACCUCCUGACGACUCAUUGUCUGCCAUCGCUGGAUGUUACAGACCAGAAGCUAUAAAAGUAUUAUGAAAAGUGUCCCCCCUGGAUCUCACUGCAACCCCCUGCACAGCCCCAUGGAACCCUCUUAACGACGCUGCCACCAGCGCUUCACUGUGCCCAACGCCUGGAACGUGGGCAGGGGUACGGACUUCUUCGCCCUGAUAGCGACCGAGUGAUCGACCCAUGGGAGUAGAUCGUAUAAAGUAUUCGGGAUCGAGUGUUCGACAGACGGCUGUGCGUAACACAGUAUCGAUUGUAAAAGUGACCGAAUACGAAAGCAAAUCGACCCAGUAGAGAAUGGCCCGAAAUUGCUGAAUAGUAGGGCAGCUGUGCGUAACACUGCUAACAGGUGUGGCUGGCGUGACCUAGCCUACCUAACCUACCAAAAAGGGUGCUGGGAAAAGCAACCCGAAUAUCCCCUAGGCGACAGAACACCUAAGGUGAACCAAAACCGAACUUACUUGGUCUUCUAGCCUGAUUUAGGCUUUACGGCUAUGGAAUGCAGGGUGGUCUAGGCGAAGUCCUGCAGGUAGCUGGAAUGCUGACUAGACGGCACACGAGCGGGCAAGUCGUAAUACGCAGCAAAUAGCAACCCGCGAAAGGGGCCAAGAUUCCCUCCAGGCAACAAAUCAACAGUGAUAAAGAUUUACCUUACCGACUGAGUAUGCCCGGCGUGAAGGAUAUGGGCGUUGAGUGGCCCACACAGGAGUUCGGCUGGUGGAAGGAAGUUACUUAUGCGGCUUAAGAAAAGGGAGGUCCGCACAGGGCUUGUUGUCUAGCUCAGAGAACUUUACAAUGUUCCAAUCAUGAGCCGUAAAGCGACUUUUCCAAGCUCGCUGCCGGCUAUAAAUACCGAAGUCUCACUGUCGAUCACAGGAGGCCCUCAAAAGAUAAGCCUCGAGUACGACCACGACGUAUAGUCCACAAAUGACACAAGUGAAACACCUUAUAACCCGUGUGACAGACAUUCACACAAGAAAUAACAAUUCACAAGUAAAGUACAUAACGUACGCAAACGAGCGUACAUUCUCGUCUCGUCCAUANNNNNNNNNNNNNNNNNNNNNNNNNNNNNNNNNNNNNNNNNNNNNNNNNNUGCGCGCGCUUCUGAGACAUGUCGUAUGGCUGUGUGAGGUUAUGGCGCGCUAAUAUGACUAUUUAAGCGGACCAUUUCAUGAACAUUGUAAGUCUAAGUUGAAAUUGAAAGCCCGAUCUUCUGUGCUUACGCAAGUAUAUCGGCCAGUAAAGUCAGCUUGCACUUCCCAGUUGUUAGGAGCGGCCUGGUUCCCUUUCAAUUGGUAUCAGAGCCUAGGUGAUCCUCCUGGGUGGUGGAGCGAAUGUGACGCGACUGGGUGAGGGGGGAUGUUUCGCUGGGUUAGGCAUGGGGCCAAAGUAACCUACUGUAACGAACGCGUUUUGGGUUUCUCGUCCCGGUUCUUGGUCUGGCUAGCUGCUCAGCCCGGAUUCAAAAUCUUAUUUUAGGCGUAGCCGAAAAUUUGGUUUAAAGAGGGGCGUCAGAGCGGCGUCGUACGGUGCAGUUAGUUGGUUGUUAUUUUGAACUGCUAUUUGAUCGGUGGGGUUUAGUCUUGUCGAAUUAUCUUCCGGGCGAUCUCGGACUCAGCUGCUGGUUGAUACGAGCUCUCUUUACCAGAACAGCUGCUAGCUGCCGCUGUUAUUGUCCGUUGGUCAGCGGUGUGAAUUUGACGACCUUUCUUAUCGCCAAAUCGUUAUUUUCGUUAUUUUCUCGCGCAUCUUGGAGGGCGGUGGAUUAGGAGGCCCUUGGUUACCUCCUGACGACUCAUUGUCUGCCAUCGCUGGAUGUUACAGACCAGAAGCUAUAAAAGUAUUAUGAAAAGUGUCCCCCCUGGAUCUCACUGCAACCCCCUGCACAGCCCCAUGGAACCCUCUUAACGACGCUGCCACCAGCGCUUCACUGUGCCCAACGCCUGGAACGUGGGCAGGGGUACGGACUUCUUCGCCCUGAUAGCGACCGAGUGAUCGACCCAUGGGUCAGGUGGAACUGACUGCAUUAACCCCAGCCUCUCUAAGCGAGCCGUUACCAUGUUGUUGUGCUCCGUAAGCAUUUCCUGGAAAUAAAACUCCGCCCUC
This 9192-nucleotide long non-coding RNA is filed under the name Volvox carteri. Its description in RNAcentral is "long non-coding RNA (VCAR_LNC001829)". The record is from RNAcentral. Lineage: Eukaryota; Viridiplantae; Chlorophyta; Chlorophyceae; Chlamydomonadales; Volvocaceae.